RNAcentral lists this long non-coding RNA (1470 nucleotides) under Lonchura striata (white-rumped munia). RNAcentral describes it as "domestica (Bengalese finch) lncRNA (ENSLSDG00000017721.1)". Lineage: Eukaryota; Metazoa; Chordata; Aves; Passeriformes; Estrildidae. The record is from RNAcentral.
CGAGGUGUGUGCUUCUCGAACCGGGGAUCCCGAGGUGUGUGCUGCUGGAACCGGGGAUCCCGAGGUGUGUGCUUCUCGAACCGGGGAUCCCGCGGUGUGCGCUUCUCGAACCGGGGAUCCCGCGGUGUGCACUGCUCGAACCGGGGAUCCCGAGGUGUGUGCUGCCCGUCCGGGGUCCCGCGGUGUGCGCUGCCCGUCCGGGGAUCCCGAGGUGUGUGCUUCUCGAACCGGGGAUCCCGUCAUGCGUGUGCGGAGCCUGAGGCCCGAACGCCGCUCCAGAGGAGCGGGCGUGUUGGGGUUUUUAGACGGGACUCUUUAAGUUGCCAACUUUGCCCAAGAGCCCGGGCACUGCUCCCGCUGCGGAGCUGUAAGCGGGACCCGCUUGGGCCCUGCGCCUGUUCCAGAGGGAAACGUGAGCUCCCGGGCGCUGGCAGGGACAGGGAAUUGUCGCCGCCCUCGGUGGUUCUCCCCUCUGCAGCCGGCCCGUGUCUGUCGCCGUCACGAGUCCGGAGAGCGGCGGAUCAAGUGCCUCGGGAUAAGUGCGGGGACAGAGACGGGGGGGAACGGACGGUCAAGCUGAGCACUGUGUGGAACUUGGGGCAGGACGGAUCUGGCUUGUGGUGGGAUGUGAGGAGUCAGCCCCUCUGAUGGCUGUUUCAGCCCCCAUCUGAACAGGGAGCACACAGAAGCAUAGAGUGAGUUGUCCUAGCCUAAAGGUAAGCACUGUAAGUCCCACUCCUACUAUUUUUUUUUAAUUAUGUGUAUGUGUUCUUCUCCAGUCACUUAUGCCUGAAGGGGAAGAGAGAUGGGAGGAAAACAUUCUGCUUUUUCAUCCCACGAAAACUCCUUCAAGAAAUACCCUGGGCUAGAGCAGCCAAUAAUUUUAGUCUGAGCAGAGAUUUUCCCAUGACAGAGUUGGCUUUUCUUAGGUUAAUUCCUGGUAUUUUAACUAGGCAGCAAACCAGAGGGUGGAGGAGAAAGGACAUACCUGCAGGUACAAGUCUGAUGUGUAAUGAGAGUUUACCUUCAGUUUUUUUCACACUAGAGGAUUGUGUCCAGCACCUUCUCCUUUUGCUCUAUGCAGUAAGUCCAAGAGCUUUCUGUGCAGGGAUCCUGGGCAAUGCAAGAGCUAAAGCUUUCACAGCAGCAGAGCUUACUCUCCUCUUUGAAAAUGAGCUUGGGUUUCUCUGCAGGCAAGGCCUUUAUAUCUGACAAAAUAUUUUACUUUCCACUGGAAUCUGGUGUGCAGAGAUCCCUAGAAAUAGAGCCAUGUCAGGUACCAUGAGUUCUUGAGAGGCUGGGCCAUGCUUCUAAACCACAUAAAAUGAAAGAGGCAGGCUAAGAGCUCCAUAACCCAGAAGCAUGAGGAAAGGAAACCGGUGGGACUGCUUUGGUUUAGCCCAUUUCGUGGUGCUGGUGCCAAAUGUUCCUGACAGUAUAUUAUUGCAUUCACAGUCCUUGCACACCAAG